Molecule: long non-coding RNA, 472 nt
Organism: Lolium rigidum
Lineage: Eukaryota; Viridiplantae; Streptophyta; Magnoliopsida; Poales; Poaceae
Exons: 3
Source: RefSeq, a predicted model, not a curated record
UCCUCUCCUUCCCCCGAGCCGCCAUCGAAACGAGCCCGACGAAGCCAGAGUCGCAGCCCUCUCCCCCAUCUACCUCUCCGUCUCUCCACCCGUGCUCUUGCGGCAUCCCAUCGAUCCGAGGCCGACUACGCCAGAUCCGCCGUCAUGGCCGCACGUUCUUGCGCUGCAGACGUGCAGUGAUGGGCGGUUCCGACUCCUCCGGCUGCACGUUCUUCCUCGAUGUCGUCUUCGAGUAGUAGCCCAUCUGCAGGUUGGUGGAGCGCUGGAGCACGGUGCAACCCGCGUGGCCGCCCCGCGUCAGAUCUGAAGAGCAAGGCGACGGAGGCCUUCAUCGACGACUGGGUAGCAAGGUGUUGCAGCUGGAGCAUGUGUUCAUCAGGAAGAUGAUGUUCAGGUUCACGAUUAUACCCUACAUGCUCCAUGAUCGAGUGCAACGACAACUGGAACUGCCAGAUCGAGAAUCACCUUCACA